This 198-nucleotide ribosomal RNA is filed under the name Triticum aestivum (bread wheat). RNAcentral describes it as "partial small subunit ribosomal RNA". Lineage: Eukaryota; Viridiplantae; Streptophyta; Magnoliopsida; Poales; Poaceae. The record is from RNAcentral.
AUGAGCCAAAAGAGUUACCACCAGACCCAUGAUCAUGUAAUACCUCUUAUGGAGGGAGCUGAGCCGAUUAAUCUCAGGCUGUAUAGAUACUCGCACGAUCAAAAGGCAGCCAUUGAAAAGUUGGUCGAUGAAAUGCUAGUAGCUGCUGUGAUUAGGCCAAGCUCAAGCCCUUGCCCUUUUCAAGUCCUGUACCUGUAG